GAAAACUUGGAGUACAUUGCGAACUUGGAGCACAGAAGUUGCAGCAAGAAUCAGAGCAGCAGAACUUAAACUUGACAGAAAAUCCAGAAGAGAACUUAGAGGAGCAGAAGUUGCAGCAAGAAUCAGAACAUCAGAACUUAAACUUGAAAGAAAAUCCAGAAGAGAAGUUAGAGGAGCUGAAGUUGCAGCAAGAAUCAGAACAUCAGAACUUAAACUUGAAAGAAAAUCCAGAAGAGAACUUAGAGGAGCAGAAGGUGCAGCAAGAAUCAGAUCAUCA
Molecule: long non-coding RNA, 277 nt
Organism: Hibiscus syriacus
Lineage: Eukaryota; Viridiplantae; Streptophyta; Magnoliopsida; Malvales; Malvaceae
Exons: 2
Source: RefSeq, a predicted model, not a curated record